GGCGGACGGGUGAGUAAUGCAUAGAUAACUUGCCCCUGAGAUGGGAAUAACGCUUCGAAAGGAGUGCUAAUACCCAAUGCCGUCUCGAGUCGCAGGGCUCGAGAUGAAAGGAGGCCUCUGAUUCAAGCUUCCGCUCAGGGAGAGGUUUAUGUCCUAUUAGCUAGUUGGUGAGGUAACGGCUCACCAAGGCUUCGAUGGGUAGCCGACCUGAGAGGGUGACCGGCCACACUGGGACUGAGACACUGCCCAGACUCCUACGGGAGGCUGCAGUCGAGAAUCUUCCGCAAUGCGCGCAAGCGUGACGGAGCGACGCCGCGUGGGCGAUGAAGGCCUUCGGGUUGUAAAGCCCUGUUAGCUACUAUGAACCGCGGGUGGUGAACAACCAUCCCGUCUGACGUAAGUAGCAAAGAAAGCACCGGCUAACUACGUGCCAGCAGCCGCGGUAAUACGUAGGGUGCUAACGUUGUUCGGAAUCACUGGGCAUAAAGAGCGCGUAGGCAGUCUGAUAAGUCAGGUGUGAAAUCCCCCGGCUCAACCGGGGAACUGCACCUGAUACUGUUGGGCUUGAGUGCAGGAGGGGAGAGCGGAAUUCCUGGUGGAGCGGUGAAAUGCGUAGAUAUCAGGAGGAACGCCGGCGGCGAAAGCGGCUCUCUGGCCUGUUACUGACGCUGAGGCGCGAAAGCUAGGGGAGCAAACGGGAUUAGAUACCCCGGUAGUCC
This 719-nucleotide ribosomal RNA is filed under the name uncultured bacterium. RNAcentral describes it as "bacterial SSU rRNA". It matches the Rfam family "Bacterial small subunit ribosomal RNA", at positions 97 to 796 of the family's 1533-position model. The record is from RNAcentral.